This 270-nucleotide ribosomal RNA is filed under the name uncultured bacterium. RNAcentral's name for it is "partial 16S ribosomal RNA". It matches the Rfam family "Bacterial small subunit ribosomal RNA", at positions 524 to 776 of the family's 1533-position model. The record is from RNAcentral.
UACGUAGGGUGCAAGCGUUGCCCGGAUUUAUUGGGCGUAAAGGGCGCGUAGGCGGCUCGGCACGUCCGUUGUGAAAUCGCCCGGCUCAACUGGGCGGGGUCAGCGGAUACGGUCGAGCUCGAGCAAGCUAGGGGGCAAUGGAAUUCCCGGUGUAGUGGUGGAAUGCGUAGAUAUCGGAAGAACACCGGUGGCGAAGGCGGCCCGCUGGGCAGGAAGACGGAGCAAUCCGUCGGCUGACGCUGAGGCGCAACAGCGUGGGGAGCAAACAGG